CCCUAUCAAACUUUACUUUAGUUUAACUGGGGCAGUUAAUUAAUAAAAAUUUUAAUAAAGAUUAAGUACUAAAUAGANNNCCCAACANUAGUUGAUUACANUGAACAAGUUACUGUAGGGAUAACAGCGUAAUAUAUAUCUAAAGUUCUUAUUUUGAUAUAAGUUUGCGACCUCGAUGUUGAAUUNAUAUUACUUUCAAGCGCAAGAGCCUGAAAAGUGGGUCUGUUCGACCCCUAAAUAUAUACAUGAUUUGAGUUCAAAUCGGUGUAAACCAGAUUGGUUUCUAUCUAUUNUUAUUUGUGUCUUAGUACGAAAGGACCUGAAACAAUAUUAUAUAAUNAUUUAUAUGGCAGAAAAAUGCUUUAGAUUUAGGAUCUAAUUAUAAUAGAUUAUUAUACUCUAUUUAACUUGCCUAAUCUCUGUUAUUAGAAUCCUUAUCGCAGUAGCUUUUUAUACCCUCCUAGAGCGAAAAAUUCUAAGCUACAUCCAA
Molecule: ribosomal RNA, 490 nt
Filed under: Sancus acoreensis
Lineage: Eukaryota; Metazoa; Arthropoda; Arachnida; Araneae; Tetragnathidae
Description: partial 16S ribosomal RNA
Rfam family: Bacterial large subunit ribosomal RNA (bases 1-288)
Source: RNAcentral